AAUACAUCGGAACGUGCCUAGUAGUGGGGGAUAACUACUCGAAAGAGUGGCUAAUACCGCAUGAGAUCUACGGAUGAAAGCAGGGGAUCGCAAGACCUUGUGCUACUAGAGCGGCCGAUGGCAGAUUAGGUAGUUGGUGGGAUAAAAGCUUACCAAGCCGACGAUCUGUAGCUGGUCUGAGAGGACGAUCAGCCACACUGGGACUGAGACACGGCCCAGACUCCUACGGGAGGCAGCAGUGGGGAAUUUUGGACAAUGGGCGCAAGCCUGAUCCAGCAAUGCCGCGUGCAGGAUGAAGGCCUUCGGGUUGUAAACUGCUUUUGUACGGAACGAAAAGCCCUGGGUUAAUACCCUGGGGUCAUGACGGUACCGUAAGAAUAAGCACCGGCUAACUACGUGCCAGCAGCUGCGGUAAUACGUAGGGUGCGAGCGUUAAUCGGAAUUACUGGGCGUAAAGCGUGCGCAGGCGGUUUUGUAAGACAGAGGUGAAAUCCCCGGGCUCAACCUGGGAACUGCCUUUGUGACUGCAAGGCUAGAGUACGGCAGAGGGGGAUGGAAUUCCGCGUGUAGCAGUGAAAUGCGUAGAUAUGCGGAGG
RNAcentral lists this ribosomal RNA (596 nucleotides) under uncultured bacterium. RNAcentral's name for it is "bacterial SSU rRNA". It matches the Rfam family "Bacterial small subunit ribosomal RNA", at positions 112 to 704 of the family's 1533-position model. The record is from RNAcentral.